Long non-coding RNA from Onychomys torridus (southern grasshopper mouse), 552 nucleotides. RefSeq lists it as uncharacterized. Lineage: Eukaryota; Metazoa; Chordata; Mammalia; Rodentia; Cricetidae. The record is from RefSeq and is a predicted model, not a curated record. The transcript is spliced from 3 exons.
AAUUGUAGAGAGGCUUUCUGGUUGGGAACUCUCAAAAACCGAGACUUACAGGGUGAAGAAAUUGUUUCUCAGGAUCCCUCUUCCCCAGAGAGCACUUCAGAAGACAGUGAGGAUGACAUAACAUCCCACGUCUCCAAGAGCACAGCAACAAAGGAUGGGGAAGAUGAAGCAAGUGAUGGACACAAGGACCAAGAUAAUGAUGAAAGCGAUGACAGCUCUGACUAGAUCCCAGGACACAACCGCCCUUCCUCGUCUCCGGCAGCCUCUUACCCUUUCCUCUUUGGGGUGUGAGGUCUGCUCUCUGCUUUUCAACCAAAGCUUCCCGUUUCUCUUCAAGAAGGGGUUUUUAUUUAACUAACCAGUGGAUUUCACAGAUUGUCCAAUAUCCAGGUCCUGGCUCAGGUUUCCAAUGUAGCAUCCGCCAGUGGUUUGGAUAAAUAUGGCCAUGCUGCUUCUGCAGAGUGAGUGCUCUGGCUAGCCUUUGGGGGCUAGUUUUGAUACUGACUUAUUUUAAAAUUUAGGAAAUAAAUUCUUUUCUGAGUUUUGCCCUGA